GCGAUCAUACCAGCACUAAUGCACCGGAUCCCAUCAGAACUCCGAAGUUAAGCGUGCUUGGGCGAGAGUAGUACUAGGAUGGGUGACCCCCUGGGAAGUCCUCGUGUUGCAUCCC
RNAcentral lists this ribosomal RNA (115 nucleotides) under Salvia splendens (bonfire salvia). The record is from RNAcentral. Lineage: Eukaryota; Viridiplantae; Streptophyta; Magnoliopsida; Lamiales; Lamiaceae.